RNAcentral lists this long non-coding RNA (14916 nucleotides) under Nicotiana tabacum (common tobacco). Its description in RNAcentral is "long non-coding RNA (NTAB_LNC005655)". Lineage: Eukaryota; Viridiplantae; Streptophyta; Magnoliopsida; Solanales; Solanaceae. The record is from RNAcentral.
AUAGGAUCAUUAAUGUUUUGUAGUCAUUUUUUAAUCUUGAAACAAAUACCAAAAAAUAGUUUAUUUUAAUGGUCAGUCUUAUUUUAAUAAUUAUUUGUACUUAAUAUUUUUGAUAAUAUUUCUUUGUGGAUAAAGUUUUAGUUAAUUAAGCUAAUUUUAAGCAUAGCUAGUCAUAAAGGCCUAAGUUUCUAGCCCAUUCCUUAAGCUCAAUACCCAAUACCCAUUAAGCUAACCCUAGGGACCCUUCUAGACUUUUCUUUGGAACAAAAAACAAAUAAAAAUACCAUAAGGAACUAAGAGCAAUAAGCUGAAAAUACACAAAUAAAAUAGACCUAGACUCUAAUGUCUGGGGAGAAGCGCCGCUGAACACGAAAGGAACCCCCACCUCCCAUUGUUUCUAUCUCCUUCAACAGAAGCCCUCCGUCGUUUUGCAAUCAAACACAAAUGACCCCCCCCUAAUCGUCUUCUUCAACUCUUCUUCUCACCGGUCAAUGGAGAACUUGCCAGAAAACACAUCUACCUCCAUCGCCACUGCUCCUUCUUCUUCGUCCAUCACAGCUACAACAACCAUGAAACCUGCUUGAAUCCUCCGUGAAACAGUCCAAAAAGCCACCAUUCAAACAAAAGAUAAAAGGAAAAAGAACAAAUCGAGAGAAAAUAGCAGUGAUGAUAUUCAGUCCAAAAACAGAACCAUGAAACCCCAAUAUGAAUCAAUUCCAGAUUUCGUGUCUUCAAUGCUCAGAAACCAGCCGUUUAAGUCUGACAUUCUGGUUCAUGUUUGAGCUUUCUUUCAAGCUUUAGGGUCGUCGAUGGUCGUUGUCUAGGGAGGCUCUAUUUCAGUCGUGCGUUGAUGUGCCAUUUGAUUGGUUUUCGGUUGAAUUCCGUCCGGGGUUCUAACGUUUGGAGGUCCGUCUCUUUCCUCCUCUUUGGUUACCUGUGAGAUGGUUUUAAGCAUGACAUUGAUUUUUUACAUUUGUUUGAGUCAUUGAGUCUUUCAAGUUGGUCUUAGAAUCUCUUAAUACACAAAGUGUUUGUUGUCGAUUUUAGUUGAAAUUGAAUAAUUUGUGUUAUGUUUGAGCUUGACGGUUUAAUGAGAAAGCAUUCUAUAGUUUAAAUUUUAAAUUAGUUUGAGGUCAGAUUGCCAUAUGAAUUAGUGCUUAAAAUAUUUUGCAAUGUCCAUAAUGUUAGUGCUUAAUUACAGUGAUGGGUUUCUCUUCCAAUGCAAGUUAAUAUUUGGCCAUUUUCUUGUCUAAAUUAGGUACUGUUAGUUUUAAAGGGACAAUAUUAUGCUUCAGGUUGCUUUUAUUUGCCUUGUUAUUCUCAUCGUUUCUUAUUUAUUUAUUUUGCGUUUUGUUUUCUCUGAAUACCAUAUGUUUCAUUGUGUGUGUAUCUCUUAUUGAUUAAAUAUGAGGCCAAAAAUCAGAACUUUGCUAGCCGCUAUAAUUUUGAAUAUUGAUAAUAAUAAGAUAAAGAUGUUAUAAACCCGGGUGUACAUUUCAUGUGACCCGAUUCUAAUUUCCAGCAAGGUUAAAUAGGACGUGUCGUGAACCACGGGUGCAUUUCAUGUGGCGUGGCUUGCGAUAUGUUUUAAAUAACCUUGAAUCUUUCUGAAAUAUUAAAAACGGCUAAAAAGUUAAACAAUGCACAUAGGUUUAAAAGUGUUUUAAAAUCAGAUAAUUAGGCAAAUAAUAACAGUUGAGCGACCGUACUAAAACCACGGAAUCCGGGAAUACCUAACACCUUCAUCCGGGUUAAUAGAAUUCUUUACCCGGAUUUCUGUGUUCGCGGACAGUAGAAUAGAGUCAAUCUUUCCUCGAUUCGGGAUUUGAACCGGUGACUUAGGACACCAUAAAUUAUCCCAAGUGGUGACUCUAAAUUUAAAUAAAUAAAUAAUCUCGUUUCGAUUGUCACUUAAAUUGGAAAAAACUCUCUUAUACCCUUCUGGGGUGUAGGUUAAAAGGAGGUGUGACAGGCCUCACUCAGUCCGAAAAUCAUCACAAGCCCCUCGGGCAUUAGUAAAGCAGUAGUUCUCAGCCCAAAACAUCAUUUAGAAAUAUCAUUUAAGUUUCAAAUAUGAGUAAUAAUGGUUGAGUUUGUAAAACAGUAAAUAUCAACAGGACUGAGUUCAAGUAAUAAGUCAAAACAGUGAGGAAAUAGUGAUAAAAAUACCCGGAGGGUUCAAAUAGUUAGCACGAAGCCCAAAUAUGGCAAUCAGCCCAAAUCAUGAUGCUAACAAACAGGUUUCAGUCAAAUACGCAGUAAAAUCAUCAAUUGGGAUGGACCAAGUCACAAUCCUCAAUUGUAAACAACCCCACACUCAUUAUUAGCGCGUGUCUCACCUUAAUAUAGCACUACGAUGUGCAAUCCGGGGUUUUAAACCCUUAGAGUAUCAUUUACAAUCAUUACUCACCUCGAAUCGGCUAAAUCUCUAGCUCGCGACGCCUUUGCCCCUAAAAUCGGUCUCCACGCGCGUCGAAUCUUUCCAAAAUCAGAAUGAAUACGUCACAAUAUGCUAAGGGAACAAAGCCCAAGCAAAAACAAUCAGAAAAUACCAAAAAUUCCGAAAUUAGCAAAACCCAAGCCCCGGGCCCACUUCUCGAAACUCAAAUAUUUUCACAUCAUUAGAUUCCUUUCUCCUCACGAGUUCAUACAUAUCAAAUUUACCAAAAUCUGACCUCAUAUGGUCACUCAAAUUCUAAAAAUUCACUCUCCAAUUUCAAGCCCUAAUUUCCCAACUCUUCUUCUAAAUUCAACAAAUUUUCAUGAUUAAACAAUGUUAUAAUCACCAUAAAUACAAGGUAUAAAUCCCAAGUAGCUUACCUCUGCGGAUACACUUGAUCCCCUCUUGAAAUCACAGCUUGGAGCUCCAAAAUCGCACAAAAAUGAUGAACAAAUGACUUAAAAUCACGAAAGGGAAUUUUUAUACCAUCUGCCCAGCCCUUUCGUACUUGCGAUCCAGUAAGCGCAUAUGCGCUUCCGCUUCUGCGAAUUUCACUUAUGAGUCAGGACCCAUUUCUGCGGUCCAAAAGCACACCUGCGGUACCGCAUAUGCGGUUCUCCCUCCGCUUCUGCGAAAAUCACUUGCCGACCAAAUCUCGCAUCUGCGAUCCUUUCCCCACAUUUGCGGCUUCGCAGAUGCGGUCCACAUAGCCGCUUCUACGGUCUCAGCCCAUCUGAUCCUUUUUUGCUUCUGCGAUGAAUCACCUGCAUCUGCGGUCUGCAAAAAUACCAGAAGCUGCAAAUCUGAAGCUACAACCAACAUCUAACUUCUCUGAUAACCAUCCGAAAUCAUCCCGAAGCCCCCAGGACUUCAACCAAAAGUACAAACAUAGCCCAAUACCUUAUUUAAACUUGUUACAAUCAUCAAAACACCUCAAACAACAUCAAAUCUACCAAAUCAUAUCGAAUUCAAGCCUAAGUUUCUAAAAAUCUUCUGAAAUACUCUUUUGAUAAAAAACCCAACCAAAUCACGUCCAAAUGACCCGAAAUUUUGCACACACAUCCCAAAUGACACAAUGAAGUUACUGUAACUCUCGGAAUUCCAUUCUGACCCUUAUAUAAAAAUCUUGCCUAUCAACCGGAAAUCGCCAAAAUAUCAAUUUCGCCAAUUCAAGCCUAAACCUACUCUGGACAUCCAAAACCAAUUCCGAUCAUGCUCCUAAGUCAUAAAUCACCCAACGAAGCUAACAAAAUCAUAAAAAUUCCGUUACGAGCUCAUAUACAAAUAAGUCAACUCUUGGUCAAACCUUUCAAUUUCAAAGCUUUCAUCUGAGACUGUUCUUUCAAAUUCAUUCCGAUUUUCCAGAAAACCAAAACCAACGAUCUACAUCAGUCACAAUACAUUACUCGGGGCAAGUCAUGCCCGAGAACUGGCAAUCAAAGUGCAAAAGCUCAAAGCGACUGGUCUGGUCGUUACAUCUGUAAAGACAAAUAGAGAACUACUAGUUCAAAUAGUCUCUAGUAAGAAAAUCAGGAAGGGUAUUAUCAGACCCUUUUUUGUAUAUAAUUUCGAAAUCAAAAGGGGAUAAUAAAUCUUGCCCCCUUGCAAACAUUUGUUUAGACACAUCAUGUUUGAAAUCUUUACUAAAGAUAAAUUUUGCUGCUUGGCAAUCAGUUUUAAUCAACAAUUUUUGAUUGUAUAAAUUAGUCUGAAAUUUCAUAACACAUUUGACAAUAGCAAGAAUUUCUUUAGCUACAGUCGCAUAAUUUUUCUGGGAACCAUUCCACUUACCAGAAUAAAACUGAACAAGAUAUUCUUGUUUAUCUAUUAGAGAACAUUAUUUCAAUAUCCCACCAUAACCGAUAUCAGAGGCAUCAGUUUCUACAACCUUUGCCCAAGUGGGAUUAGCAAGAGUCAAACAAGGAAGGUUAUUAACCUUUUGUUUAGUUCUCUUGACUGCUUCAGUAUGACUCUCAGUCCAAGCGUUAGGGUUCUUCUUUAGUCUUUCAUAAAGAAGAGCUGUAUCCUUAGCUAGAUCCUUUAUAAAAGGAGAAAUAUAAUUUAAGCUUCCUAAAAAUCGUUGAACAUGGGUUUUAUCAGUAAUAAUAUCAGGGAACUUAGAAGCAAAUUCAGUACUUCUAUUAAUAGGAAUGAUCCUACCCUUCUCAAUGUUAUGACCCAAAAAUCUAACAGAAGUUUGGAAAAUCAUCAUUUUUGGUUUUGAUAUAACUAAAUCAUUCUGAAUAAUAAUGUUUUUAAACAAAUCAAGAUGUUUGAAAUGAGACUCAAUUUUUUUUGAAAAUACUAAGAUAUCAUCAAUAUAAACAAUUAUAAAAUCCGUAUAAGGAAGGAAAAUAUCAUUCAUAAUUUUUUGAAAUUCAGAAGGAGCAUUUUUCAAUCCAAAGGGCAUAACAUUCCAUUCAUAUUGACCCAUUGGAACAUUGAAAGCCGUUUUAUACCUAUCUGAUUCAGAUAUCUGAAUUUGUCAAUAACCUGAUUUUAAAUCAAAUUUUAAAUAUAAUGGCAUCAUGCAAUUUGUUUAAUAAAUCCUUUUUAUUAGGAAUAGGAUAUCUAAUCCAUUUUAAAACCUUAUUAAGGGUCUUGUAAUUAAUGACUAAUCUAGGAACUCCUCGUUCCUGUUCAGCAUGCUUAUUUACAUAAAAAGCAGUACAAUACCAUUUGAACUUUGAGAGCCUAAUUAAACCCUUCUGCUGCAAGGAAUCAAUUUUCUUUUUGCAUAACUCCAAAUAAUCAGAGUUCAUUUGACAAGGUCGAGCCGUGGUAGAGAUAUUAUCCUCAAAAAAGUCUUCUUCAUAAGGAAGACUUAUAAUGUGCUUCUUCCUACUCCAAAAUUGGCUUGGAUGGUCACCACAAAUAGAAGCAGAAAAUUGAUUUUUGAGAAAAUUAAUUUUUUCUACUAACUUAGGCUUUUUUAAAUACUGUACAAUGCUGAUGGAACAAAUCAUAUUUCUCAAAAAUUCAAUUNNNNNNNNNNNNNNNNNNNNNNUACCGGUAAAACUUUUUGUAUCCCAAUAUAAAAAAGGCAUUAAUUUAAUAAAAAAUGGGACACCAUGUAUUACAUCCCCAUCAAUAUCUUUUACCAAUACAAAACUUUCAGGAAUACAGGUAUCCUGUUGGCAAAUAUAAGCCCUAGGUAAUUUGUAUGAAAUACCCAUUGCACCACCACUAGCAUUAUUUAAACGGUGAGUGGUUUUAUGAAAAUAUCUGGAGGGUAUUACUCCUUCUUUUACACAAUAUAAAUCUACUCCACUAUCAAAUAAAGCAACAAACUCUUUUUUUAAAUUAUAGUCAAUUAAAAGUGUUAUUUUUAUUAAAAACUUUUGGGUGAUAAAAUAUAGCAGUUUUUCUAGAAAUUCAUCUUCAGAAAAGUCCAUAGCUGCAAGCAAAGUAUUAGCAGUAUUUUCUUCUGAAGAACUAGCCGUAGUAUUUAUCUCAGUAAUCUUGAUACUGGGAUCUGCUUGGCAGAAUUCUCUAAUUUGAAAAUCCUUUCAUCUAAGACUACUUUUGAAGCCUUUAAUUCCGAGAUUUCUUUCUUGAGAUAAUUUAUCUCAGUACUUAAAUCUUGGACAGCAGCAAGCCUUUCAGGCUGAGACUUGUUUUUCACCAUUUUUGUGAUUUCAGACAUGGUGUAAGGUCCUUUUUGAGAUGGAAUUUCUUCCACCUCUGUUCCUGCUUCUGAACUAGUAGGAAGUUUAUCAAUAAGUUGGGACCUUAAUUCAGGGUCUUUAAUAACCCUUAGAAGAUCAAUCAUAUUAUCAUUAGAUAGAACAUUGAUCUUCAAGUCUCUAAAUUGAGAGCAAAUAUUAAAAAGUUCAUCGUCGGUAUUGCAACAAUGAUUUGAGCAUUGUCCCUUAUUAUAGAACUCUUGCUCUUCUUCAGAAGAUGAAGUAUAACUUUCUUCAUGAAGGACCCUUAGGUCUUCACUUGUUGAUGAAUUAUCUUCAUCAGUGUCCGAUAUAUCUGGGGAAGAAUUUAAAAUAAUCUUGCAUAAAAAAUCUUUAAUAUGAUCGUCUAAAUCUAAUUCCUUGAUCUUAUCCUUAAUUUUGCAAUCCUUUGCAUAAUGACCUACUCUUCCCCAUUUAUAACAGGCAUGAGGGUUUUUUGGUUUAAUAAAACCCUUUCUGGCUUUAUGAAAAGCCUUUGUUCUUUGGGUCUUUACAUGCCGUUUCUCCAGCGAACCCUUGUUCCUUUUGAAAUCCUUUUUAUGGGAUUUCUUCUUCUUAGAAGGUAUAUCAAUGGCGAAAUGUUCACAGAAUUCACCUAAUUGUUGUCUCUCAGUGAGACAAUAUUUCUUAGUUUGUUGGUUUAGCUUGAUCUCAUAACACAGAGCUAAACCUUCCUGAGUGCAUAGACUAAAGAGUUUACCAUAUGAGUAAGUAUCAUAAUUGAUACUCAUCCCUGUGCCUCUAAUGAUUUUUCGAAUCCUUUCAGCAAAUAAGGGAGGGAGUCCAUCAAUAAAUUUAGACUUCCAAUGAGUACUAUUACUUUCUAGUAAUUCCAUCACUCUGGAUAAGAAAACAUAUUUAUACCAUCGAAAAGAUGUGAUGGUUUUACACCUCAAAUUCUGGAGCAUCGUUCUAAUGGUCUUACUAUUAUCAGACCAUCUUCCAGAAAAGUGUUCGAUGAUGUUCAUGACUAAAGAAUAGACUGAGUUUUGAAUAGUCUUAUCCUCUUCAGUCUUGGUUGCGUUCAUUAUUUGAAAACGCUGGCCAUGAGUGAGAUAAUUAUCCCACCAGCCUUUCAGCUGGCCAGUAAAUCCGGCAAUAAUCAUUUCUACAAUUUCCCUAUCUAUAUUCUUAUUAACCUUACAGAUAGUACUGUACAUAAGCAUUCUAUGUACUAUAGUAUAGAUCUGUCUUUCAACAAGACCAUCUAUAUUCCAUUCAUAGAUAUCUGACUCACUAUAACCCUAGUGAUAAUGGUCAUUGUCCUGUUCUUCUAUUAGGACAUCUUGGGGGUAGGUCUAGGAUAGUAAAACAUUUUCUGGUAUGGUUUUCGAGCAUACUUUUCAGAGAUUUUAUUAAUCUCGUCGUCUACCUUCAGAUUGCUAGUAGACGCAUGCUCUAAAGUUAGAGGGCUAGCUCUAAAUUCACCUUACUUCUUAACAAGAAGUUCUUCAAUAUUCUCUAAACUUAGGUUAUCCAGACUUUUCAAUUUAAAGUCCUUUACCUCAGGAGGUGGUUGGACACUUGUAGUAGUGAUUUGAUCUUUACCUUUAGUAUCCUUCUGUUGGAUUUUUUGGACCUCAGCUAUAAGCUUGUCCAAUUUCUCAUGAAUUUUGAUAGCCUGUUCACCCAAAUACUUACAUACAUAUUAGUAUAAUUGUUCUGAGUAAGCAUAGUAUUCAGGUUCUUCGCAGUUAUAGCAGCAACAUCAUUUUCAAAUAUUUUUGAAAAAAGUAAUGCAGUAAAUAAUCUUAUCUUUUUCCCCUAUAUGAAAAGAUUGUUGGGGUGGAAAAAUAGAAUUAACAAUAUUUCCAUUAGUGAGCGUAUAAUCUCUUUCUAACACAGAAACAUAGUUAUAAACAUGUUUUGACAUAAACCAAGGAACAAAAGCAAUAAUCUUAUUUUUUUUGCUAAUAUCCCCAUAAAAUCAUUUCUAAACAAUUGUAUUAAUUUAGGAGUCAUGUUUUCAUGAAAUCAUUUUCUGAAAACAACCCAUUUGGAUUUUAGAAAUUCUUCUAAAAUCAUUUUUCUUGCCGGUGAACCCGGACUAAAAUCUAUUUGGUUUUCAAUCAUUUUUAAAACCAUUUGUAAAAUUCAUAUCGGAUGGAGUAGGUUCAAAAUCUGCAGUAUUAUUAAUCUUGACAAUAUUAUCACUACUGAUGCUGAUAUCAUUAACUCUAUUAUUUUCUCUAAUUUGAGAUGUGGAUGCUCUAGAUGGAAAAUCUACCACGUAAUCAAUUGGAGAAAUAUAUGAAUAGCUUGAUCUAGUUAAUCUAGAUAAUAAACUGAUAUUAUCAGUUUGCUCAGGUUCAUUGAACCUGAUUUUAACAGUGCCAUCUGAGGUUUGUUUUAUUUCUGUAACCUCAGUAUUACUAGUGUUUCGAGGGGCAACUGCUUCCUCUAUGACCCAUUCCUUAGGGAAAUCAAUUUCAUCCCAUUUGAUAGGUCUUUUGGUGUUUACUUUGGAUUUACCAAAGUUGGUUUCUAUAAGAAUAGUUUCAUUUUUGAAAUCCAUAAUUUUUCACAUAGGAUUCAAAGUAUAUAACGGUUUGAAAUAAAUCCUAUAGCAGAUGCAUAUGACUUCUGUACUAGGCAAACAAUUAUAACCAUGUAAUAUAAUGCUAAGUAUUAAAGCAUUCAAAGAAUUCUCAUCAUUAAGAGAAAUCUGCAAAUUAGGAAUACAUUAAAAUAAACAGGGCCAUAGGCCAAACUGGUUUGCACAGUCCCUAUGAGAGACUUUUUCCAGUCCUGGUUUCUGCCAUCUCUAAGAGCUGCAAUAGAGCUUUCAGGUAAGCCUCUUAAAGUAAGUGGCUUAAAGGCAACUUGUAUUAAACCUAUAUGUAUAAAUCUAUAUGAAUCCCUAUAAGGGACUAAAUCACUUUCAGAUAAUAAUCUGAACGUAGCAUGAUCACUAUCUACAGUGAUAGUCUCUUCAGCAGUUUUAACUACCUGUUUUAAACCUAUUCUUUUAAAGGUACCUAACUGGUAUAUUACAUUAGGUUUGAUUAAUGGGAUAGUCCACUUAUUAAGAAGGUCUAAUUGUUGAGGUAAUUCAUACUCCUCUUUCCUACUGUUUUUAACAGCAGUCUUCUUCCUAAUGAUAUUCAUUAAGAAAAUAGUGUUAAACUUAGUCUCUAAUGUUUUUUACUAACAUGGCUCUGAUACCAAGGGGGUACAGGAUCGCUUCCGAAUGAGGCUCGGGAAAUGAAUUACAAGAAUUUCAGCCCUAGCUAGCUACUAACCUCUAGGCAAACCUUAAACCACGAUGCUCCUCACAACCCUUCAACGGCCACCUGCCUAACGGGUUUACGAGCACCACCGGUUAGGUUGGCCUAACCAAGGUUUACUAUCGAGAAUAGUAACUGCCUGGUUUAUAUAGUUCUUAACCCAAAACCUCAUCGGAGUUAUACAGUAGACUCCUAGCUACGAAACAUGCAUAGUAAACAACCUUCGAAUACUAAGUCUAACACUUACAUGUUUACCCGAUCAUUUAGGCCAACAGUGCUACAAAAAUGAAAGAGGGAAGGAGAAGAACAGUACCAGACCAAAGACCCUUUGUUGUGGCCAAGUGACCUUUUUGAUUUUUAUUUCUGAAUUGAAAAUAUUACAAAAGGGGUUUUUUACAAGUAGAGAGAGAAACUAGAGAGAAGUCAGAGCGUUUUGUAAUGCCUUGGCUAAUGCCUACUUCUCUGAAUAAUAAAAUGAUCGUUAUAUAAUGGAUCGGUCUACAAACAAACAAAACUAAAAAGUAAAACUGGCCAACAAAAUAAUUACAGGUGUGGCCGACAAGAUAAAAAAAGUUCUAUAAUUAAGUCCGAACAAACUACUUUAUAAAAGUAGAAUCCCUUCAAUAAUGGAGGGGCCCGUUAGUUUAUUAAAGUCGUCUUUACUACCCCAAUAAUUUAUCUAUUGGGGCCUUCAAUAAUUCAGACUUUGCUUUUCCCUUUGUCGUUUUUCACCAAAGAUUCUUCGGCACUUUCCUUCAGCUUUGUAAGGAAAUCUUCAAUUUCUUCAAUAUUAAUUUUUGUGUCAGAGGGGCUCUGUGCUUCACCUGCUACACAUAUUCCUUCAUUUGAAGUGCUUUCAAUGGAGGUCAUAGAGAUAUCAUCUCUGACUGUUGUUUCAAAAUUUCUUACUAGAUCCUUCUUUAUUUCUUCAAAGUAUGAAGCAAGGAUCUCUUUCUUUGAUAUAGCUCCUUUCUUCAUUUGGAGCCGCUUUGUGAUCAUUUCAAAAGGACUUAAUUUUUCCUCUGCAACCUGUGUUCUGUCUAAUUUGACAGUCUUCUAUUUUAGCCUGUAUUUGUUGAAUCAAUUCUUCACCAUAUAACUUGCCUUGCUGAUUAGUCUGGAAUAACUUAGACCAAAACUUAUGAUAAAAAAUUCUGUUAAGGCAGGGAAUUCCUUCAUUGGUAUAACCGAUCUGUACAUCCCAUUUCAUUAUGCAAGGGAUUGAAAAUUCGAUAAAUAAAUACAUGGUAGCAAUACCAUUAUAAAAGAUAUUAUCAUUUUGUAAUGACAGAAUUUGGGAUAUAUGUCUACCCACUGAGAAUAUAAAGCUUUUAGUAGAGGGUUGAGUAUUUCUAAUGAUGGACCGUAUAACAUCCACCACUUGAAGAACCAAUUUGGAAUUUGUUGUCCGAACAUAUUAGGACAGAGUUUAAUAAACUAAGAAUGUUUCCUAUUAGGAUUUUCAUAAAGGAAAGUUUAAUUAAAACUCUCUACAUAGUCCCAAUAAUUGAACUUAACUGAUACCUUUUGGUUAGGAUAUGUGUAUUCACGAUCCUUGAGAGUACUGAUACCCCAUUCAUCAGAAGGUAUGACCUUCAUUAUUAUAAUCUUCAAAAAACUAUAAUUUUUCCUAGUAUUAUCAGGAUAAAAGUGCUGAAUUUCAACAGAUCCUGUUGUUGGGAGUAUAAUCUCAUAGUGCAUCCUGUAUUUAUAAGCAGGAGUAGUGUAUAACGCUGUAUCAAAAUACCUGGCCAUUAUUUUCCAAGGAUUAUCCUUCCAUUUAGGUCGGAUUGUUCCAAAAGAAUUAUUAACUCUUUUGUCUCUUUUUGAGUAUAAAACUCAAAAUUCUCAUUACUAUCCUCUGAUAUAACUGAGGAGUAGGUUGGUACAUUAGAUGUGGAUAAUGUACCUUCAUCUUUCUUGGAUUGUAUAAAAUCCAUGAAUUCUUUGUAUAAAGGAUGUUCGGUAUUACCUUCUGUUAUAUUGGCGGCUAUUAGCCUUUGAUUUCCAAUUUGGGCGAGAAUAUUAUUCCCUCUACCAUCGGUAGAUGCCCUACCUCUUCCUCGCUAUGACGACCCAAAGGGUCAUCACCUAUUUUUAAUUGUAUUAUGUGCUUCCUAGGCCUUGAAAACCUCAUUUAGAGUCACCUCAAUUUGUGUGCGCAGUCCGGGCACGUAGCCGGAAAGCUUAAAUAUGAAAUUUUGUAAAAAAUGAUGAAAUUUGAGUUUAAAAUGAAUAAAUUUGACUUCGGUCAAUAUUUUGGGUAAACGGACCCGGACCCGUGAUUUGAGGUCCCGGAGGGUUUGUAGGAAAAUAUGGGACUUGGGCGUAUGCCCGGAAUCAAAUUCCGAGGUCGCGAUCCUGAGAAAUCAAUUUUUUAAAGGAAAUUAUUUUUCUGAAAUUAUUAAGAAAAAUUGAAAUGAAAUUUGAUUAGAACGUGUUGGUAUCAGGUCCGUAUUUUGGUUCCGAUGCCUGGUACAGGUCUUAUAUAUGAUUUAAGAUGUUUCUGUAAAGUUUGGUUAAAAUCGGACGUCGUUUGACGUGUUUCAGACUUGAAAUGCUAAAUUUGAAACUUGAUAAAGUAUUUGGAAAAAUUCUUGAUUUUGAGGUUUGAUUCAUUGUUUUUAAGGUUAUUUAGGUGAUUUGAUCACACUGAUAGGUUCGUACAAUGAUGUUGAGUUAGUGCAUGUGUUUGGUUAGGAUCCCCGAGGGCUCGGGAGUAUUCCGGAGGUGUUUCAUAGUGGUUUUAGACUUAUGAAAGUUGCAGGUUUCCAGUUCUGGUAUGGUCUUCUUCGCGUUCACGGGAGAACCCUUGCGAACGCGAUGAGUAAAUUUCCUGAAGGAAAUUCCCUUCUACGCGAACACGUAGACCAGGUCGCGAACACGAGGCAACGUGGGGCUAGACCUUCGCGAACGCGUUCCUGGCUAUGCGAACGCGAAGGCCAAGUGCCUGUGCAGGGGGAAUGGGUAGAACACCCUACGCGAACGCGAGGGCUCAAGGAGCAACAGCUUCGCGAACGCGAGCCCCUAUCCGCGAACGCGAAGGCCAAAAAGCCUGACCCAUAGCAAACACGAGAGGUCUAUCGCAAACGCGUAGAGUCAUUUUGCUCAAUUAUUUUAAAGUUCCAAAACAGAACCACAAACGGGAUUUCAUAACAUUUUCAUAAACCCUUUCUUCUUCAAAGCUCCUAGGCGAUUUUUGAAGCAUUUCUUCACCAAAGUUUCUUAGGUAAGCAUUGUUUAACUCGUUUUCUUCAUUUUCCAUCAACAUCUAUUGAAAUUCUAGGCCUAAAACAUGUAAUUAAGGGUAGAAAUUAGGGAAUUGGGUAGAGCUAGGGCUUUUUGAUUUUUCUUGAUUUAGACCUCGUUUUGGGGUGGAAUUUGAAAACAAAUUAUAUAUUCGGGCUCGUAGGUGAAUGGGUGAUCGGGUUUUGGUCUGAACAUCGUGUUAUGACGCAGCGGGACCAGGAUCAAUUUUUGGGAUUUUGGGAAGAAUGAUUGGAAAGUUAUAAUUGAACAUUGAAAUUGGAUUGUUUAGCACUUAUUGAUGAUAUUGAGUCAAUUGUGCAUAGAUUCGAUUGGGUUGGAGCCGAAUUUAAGAGGAAAACCGGUGUUCGAGGCUUGAGUUGGCCGUGGAAGUUCGAGGUAAGUGUUCGGUCUAACCUCAGUUUGAGGGAUUAGGAAUUGAGUCCUAUUUGCUACUUGCUUCUUGUUGAGUGUAACGUAUAGGCAUGGUGACGAGUAUCUAUACGUUGCUGUCGAGCAAGACCGUGAGUCUUAAAUUUGAACGUUGUUGUGCUCUCAUAUGGCACUUCAGAUGCUUUAAUUAAUGAUCUCCUAUAUUGAGUAAAGAUUGAUUUUAUCCUCGUAGAUCUUAGUUAUGAUUGAGUAUUGUCAUUAAUUGAGCCGAGUACAAAAUGAUUUAGGAUAUGGUUAUAGCUGAUUCUCCCUUGCCGGGAUGACUAUUUCGAUAUUGUUGUUCCCUUGCCGGGAAGUUAUUAUAUUGUUUUUGUUCCCUUGCCGGGAUUUCUUGAAAUUUGUGAUGACUUGUAAAUGGGAGCGGGUGGUACGCCUACCACAAGAUAUAAUGAAAUGAGAGCGGGUGGCCUACCACAAGAUAUAAUGAAAUGGGAGCGGGUGGUACGCCUACCACAAGAUAUAAUGAAAUAGGAGCAGGUGGUACGCCUACCACAAGAUAUAAUGAAAUGGGAGUGGGUGGUACGCCUACCACAAGAUAUGAUGAAAUGGGAGCAGGUGGUACGCCUACCACGAGAUAUAAUGAAAUGGGAGUGGGUGGUACGCCUACCACAAGAUGAAACUAAAAGUGAAAGUUGCUAUAUUUCUUUUUAUCCGCAUUAGAAGUUAAAUUGUAUUUUCCUUAUUAUUCUUUGAUAUUCUGUUUAUCUGCUACCCCCGAAGCAUGUUCCCUUUCCCCAACUUUGAUUGCUUAUUACUUGUUUACUUUUUCUGCCAUAUAUUAUAUAACUGCACAGGUUUAUCUGUAGUCUGGUCCUAGCCUCGUCACUACCUCGCCAGGGUUAGGACAGACACUUACCAGCACAUGGGCUUGGUUGUGCUAAUACUACACUCCGCACUCUGUGCAAAUACCAGAGUAGUUUUUGAUCAGCAGCAAUAGCUCGGGAGCCAGCCUUCAGUCCACGGAGACACCAACGUAGCCUUGCAGGCGUCCGCAGGCCUGACGUCUCCUCUAUCUUAUUUCAUAUUCUGUUAUCUCAUGUAUUAUAGACAAACCAUGCUAUAUUUAUUUCAAAUAGUUGUAUUUAGUACUCUUAGUAGUCUGUGGAUGUUGUGACACCAGGUUUUGGUUAGAGGCACGUGAUGGUCUUUGAGACAUUUUCAUUUUCUAUUUAUUUAAGACUUCCGCUAAAUUUCAUAUUUCGCUGUUAUGUAACUGUUUAUUUCCUUGUUAUUAUAAUUGGUAAGAAGUUUUAAAAUACGGGUCGUGACAAGUUGGUAUUAGAGCUCUAGGUUAUAUAGGUCUCACAAUUCACAGACAAGCUCAGUAGAGUCUGAGGGAUCGGUACGGAGACGUCUGUAUUUUUCCUCCAUAGGCUAUAGAGUUAGGAAAAUUUCACAUUUGUUCUUUCCUAUUGUGCGGUUUUAUUUCUCAAUACUGAUUGCCUUCCUACUCUGUUCUUUCGCAGAUGGAGAGAACACGCACUUCCUCAUCUACCGCUCAGCAGCCCGAGCCCCCAGCAGUAGCUCCUACGAAGGGCAGAGGACGAGGCCGAGGCCGUGCUAGAGGCUGAGGUAGAGGCAGAGCUCAGCCCCGAGCAGCAGCACCAGUGGCGGAGCCUCAUGUUGAUUUUGACGAGGAGGUUCUGGCCCCAGUGGUUCCGCUGGGCUCGGCUUAGGUCCCGAAAGGGUUUAUCGCUACCCCAGUUCUUCAGGAUGCUAUGAUCCGAUUAGUGGGCCUCAUGGAGAGUGUCACCUGAGUAGAUUUGCUUCCUGUAGCACCAGCCAUCUCUCAGGCUGGAGGAGGGGCUCAGACUCCUGCUAUUCGCUCUCCAGAGCAGGUGGCUCCUCAGAUUCAGACUCCAAC